This 1097-nucleotide long non-coding RNA is filed under the name Calidris pugnax (ruff). RNAcentral describes it as "lncRNA (ENSCPUG00000017598.1)". Lineage: Eukaryota; Metazoa; Chordata; Aves; Charadriiformes; Scolopacidae. The record is from RNAcentral.
GUAGGAUGGAAAGCAAGGCCCUGAUUGAAGGUCUCAAGCUGAAGUCGAAGGGUUUCUGGAAGUAUCCCCAACUGGAUAACUGGUUCAGCUGUAUUGCCUUUCCUGCUCCUGCCUUUGAGCUGAGAACUACUCCCAGAGAAGUGUCCCGAACCCUCCCAAACAGGCUGGUUGUGCCCCAAAGUGUCCUUGGAGGCCCCUCUGUCCCCGCGGGGGGGGGAGGUUUGCAGUCGCUGCCCCCAAAUGUAAUUGUGUCCCGGGGUCUUUGCUUUCAGUGGAGAUGGCUCCAGGCUGGUCCCUGCCUAACCCUCAGUGGCAUCCCCAGAAAGGGAGUUCUGAGUCUGAGGAGACCCACUCGGCUCCUUCGGGGGGGAAAAAUGACCUUAAAUCGGCAGAAAAGUAUUGGUUGGUGAUGUCUGUGUAACACCAGCUUCGUGUUUUAUGUCAGCUGAGUUAAAAAUGACGGAUUUGUGAAACGUAUCAGCAUGAUGCAAGUCUAGUUCUUCAGUUAGGUGACAAAUUGGUGACCAUAUAACUGAUUUCCAGUACAGUGUAAGUCUUCUUAGAAUUUGGGGAAAAAAGAAAACAGGACCCAGCCUCUUAUUUUUUCCAUUGUAUGUGAGUCCAUCAUUUGGCCCCUCCUAAUAACGAGGUGUUUCAUGUAACAUCCACACGCUGCAGCUGUUUCACUUUUACAACCAAAGUCAACAACCAAAGUGUAACACUGUGAGGAGAGGCAGGGAGAGGAAGGCUGGAUUGAGCUGUCCUGCCUGAGAUGGAGGGAAUGAAAAGCCCGAGGUUUGUGAGCCGUGUCCUCAGGUGGUGGUGCUGGGGGUGAUUCCCAACGUGGGUGCAUUGUCUGUCGGGUUCCAGUGAGGUCUAUGACUUCUGGCUACAGCCAAGUGAUUAGCUCCUUCGAGUUAAUUUUUCCUUAUUUCUGGUGACCGAGCCUCCUGCCGCUUCAUUCCACUGAGAUCUGGAGGUGAAAACCUUCAAAUCACUGCACCUGGGGCUGGUUUAAUGGUGGUAUCUGCAUUUCUCCUCACCUCCAGUGCCAGCAGGGAGUUCCUGGUGGGCAGAGCUGCCUUCCCUGCUCCUGC